GACGAACGCUGGCGGCGGGCUUAACACAUGCAAGUCGAACGGAAAGGCCCUGCUUGUGUGGGGUGCUCGAGGGGCGAACGGGUGAGGAACACGUGAGUAACCUGCCCUUGACUUUGGGAUAACUUCAGGAAACUGGGGCUAAUACCGGAUAGGAGAUCCUGCUGCAGGGUGGGGGGGGGAAAGUUUCGGCGGUUGGGGAUGGACUCGCGGCUUAUGAGCUUGUUGGUGGGGUAGUGGCUUACCAAGGCUUUGACGGGUCGCCGGCCUGAGAGGGUGGCCGGCCACAUUGGGCCUGAGAUACGGCCCAGACUCCUACGGGAGGCAGCAGUGGGGAAUAUUGCACAAUGGGCGGAAGCCUGAUGCAGCAACGCCGCGUUCGUGAUGACGGCCUUCGGGUUGUAAACCGCUUUCGCCUGUGACGAAGCGUGAGUGACGGUAAUGGGUAAAGAAGCACCGGCUAACUACGUG
Molecule: ribosomal RNA, 468 nt
Filed under: uncultured bacterium
Lineage: Bacteria
Description: partial 16S ribosomal RNA
Rfam family: Bacterial small subunit ribosomal RNA
Source: RNAcentral